Molecule: ribosomal RNA, 421 nt
Filed under: uncultured bacterium
Lineage: Bacteria
Description: bacterial SSU rRNA
Rfam family: Bacterial small subunit ribosomal RNA
Source: RNAcentral
UAAGGAAUAUUUGUCAAUGGACGCAAGUCUGAACCAGCCAUGCCGCGUGAAGGAUGAAGGUCCUCUGGAUUGUAAACUUCUUUUAUCUGGGACGAAAACGGGAUUUUUAUCUCAAUUGACGGUACCAGAGGAAUAAGCACCGGCUAACUCCGUGCCAGCAGCCGCGGUAAUACGGAGGGUGCGAGCGUUAUCCGGAUUUACUGGGUUUAAAGGGUGCGUAGGUGGGCUUAUAAGUCAGUGGUGAAAUCUCCGAGCUUAACUUGGAAACUGCCGUGGAUACUAUAGGUCUUGAAUUAUCUGGAGGUAAGCGGAAUAUGUCAUGUAGCGGUGAAAUGCUUAGAUAUGACAUAGAACACCAAUUGCGAAGGCAGCUUACUACAUAUAAAUUGACGCUGAGGCACGAAAGCGUGGGGAUCAAACA